UCCUGAGUAGCUCAGUGGUAGAGCGAUCGGCUGUUAACCGAUUGGUCGUAGGUUCGAGUCCUACCUCAGGAGCCA
RNAcentral lists this transfer RNA (75 nucleotides) under Aphanothece sp. RNAcentral's name for it is "tRNA-Asn". It matches the Rfam family "tRNA". From Rfam's summary of the family: Transfer RNA (tRNA) molecules are approximately 80 nucleotides in length. Their secondary structure includes four short double-helical elements and three loops (D, anti-codon, and T loops). Further hydrogen bonds mediate the characteristic L-shaped molecular structure. tRNAs have two regions of fundamental functional importance: the anti-codon, which is responsible for specific mRNA codon recognition, and the 3' end, to which the tRNAs corresponding amino acid is attached (by aminoacyl-tRNA synthetases). tRNAs cope with the degeneracy of the genetic code in two manners: having more than one tRNA (with a specific anti-codon) for a particular amino acid; and 'wobble' base-pairing, i.e. permitting non-standard base-pairing at the 3rd anti-codon position. Lineage: Bacteria; Bacillati; Cyanobacteriota; Cyanophyceae; Chroococcales; Aphanothecaceae. RNAcentral also lists the same sequence under 4 other names. The record is from RNAcentral.